UAUUGGACAAUGGGCGCAAGCCUGAUCCAGCCAUACCGCGUGGGUGAAGAAGGCCUUCGGGUUGUAAAGCCCUUUUGUUGGGAAAGAAAUCCAGCCGGCUAAUACCUGGUUGGGAUGACGGUACCCAAAGAAUAAGCACCGGCUAACUUCGUGCCAGCAGCCGCGGUAAUACGAAGGGUGCAAGCGUUACUCGAAUUACUGGGCGAAAGCGUGCGUAGGUGGUUAUUAAGUCCGUUGUAAAGCCCUGGGCUCAACCUGGAACUGCAGUGAUACUGAUACAGAUGUGGAGAGGGAGCGAAUUCCUGGUGAGCAGUAAAUGCGAAGUCAGAGAACAUCCAUGGAAGGAGCUCCUGGCCACCUAGACUGGACAAAUCUUAGUU
This 380-nucleotide ribosomal RNA is filed under the name uncultured bacterium. RNAcentral describes it as "bacterial SSU rRNA". It matches the Rfam family "Bacterial small subunit ribosomal RNA", at positions 362 to 766 of the family's 1533-position model. The record is from RNAcentral.